AAUCAACGCUGGCGGCAUGCCUUACACAUGCAAGUCGAACGGCAGCACGGGGGCAACCCUGGUGGCGAGUGGCGAACGGGUGAGUAAUGCAUCGGAACGUGCCCCGUAGCGGGGGAUAACCAGUCGAAAGACUGGCUAAUACCGCAUACGCUCCACGGAGGAAAGCAGGGGAUCGCAAGACCUUGCACUAUGGGAGCGGCCGAUGCCCGAUUAGCUAGUUGGUGAGGUAAAGGCUCACCAAGGCGACGAUCGGUAGCUGGUUUGAGAGAACGACCAGCCACACUGGGACUGAGACACGGCCCAGACUCCUACGGGAGGCAGCAGUGGGGAAUUUUGGACAAUGGGCGCAAGCCUGAUCCAGCCAUGCCGCGUGC
Molecule: ribosomal RNA, 374 nt
Filed under: uncultured bacterium
Lineage: Bacteria
Description: bacterial SSU rRNA
Rfam family: Bacterial small subunit ribosomal RNA
Source: RNAcentral